CCUACGGGAGGCAGCAGUGGGGAAUAUUGGACAAUGGGCGCAAGCCUGAUCCAGCAAUGCCGCGUGAGUGAUGAAGGCCUUAGGGUCGUAAAGCUCUUUUACCAGGGAUGAUAAUGACAGUACCUGGAGAAUAAGCUCCGGCUAACUCCGUGCCAGCAGCCGCGGUAAUA
Molecule: ribosomal RNA, 170 nt
Filed under: uncultured bacterium
Lineage: Bacteria
Description: partial 16S rRNA
Rfam family: Bacterial small subunit ribosomal RNA
Source: RNAcentral